Molecule: ribosomal RNA, 395 nt
Filed under: uncultured bacterium
Lineage: Bacteria
Description: bacterial SSU rRNA
Rfam family: Bacterial small subunit ribosomal RNA
Source: RNAcentral
GACGAACGCUGACGGUGUGCUUUAGACAUGCAAGUCGAACGAGAAAGCCCUUCGGGGUUAGUAAAGUGGCGAACGGGUGAGUAACACGUGGGCAAUCUGCCCCUCGCAGGGGGACAACCGGAGGAAACUCCGGCUAAUACCCCGUAAGUUCAAAGGGAGGCAUCUCUCUUCGAAGAAAGGUAGCUUCGGCCAUCCGGCGAGGGAUGAGCCCGCGGUGCAUUAGCUAGUUGGUGGGGUAACGGCCUACCAAGGCGACGAUGCAUAGCUGGUCUGAGAGGAUGAUCAGCCACACUGGGACUGAGACACGGCCCAGACUCCUACGGGAGGCAGCAGUGGGGAAUCUUGCGCAAUGGGCGAAAGCCUGACGCAGCGACGCCGCGUGAGGGAUGACGGCC